AACCUCCGCAAUGUGAGAAAUCGCGACGGGGGGAUCCCAAGUGCCAUUCUUAACGGGAUGGCUUUUCAUUAGUGUAAAAAGCUUUUGGAAUAAGAGCUGGGCAAGACCGGUGCCAGCCGCCGCGGUAACACCGGCAGCUCUAGUGGUAGCAAUUUUUAUUGGGCCUAAAGCGUCCGUAGCCGGUUUAAUAAGUCUCUGGUGAAAUCCUGUAGCUUAACUGUGGGAAUUGCUGGAGAUACUAUUAGACUUGAGACCGGGAGAGGUUAGAGGUACUCCCAGGGUAGAGGUGAAAUUCUGUAAUCCUGGGAGGACCGCCUGUUGCGAAGGCGUCUAACUGGAACGGUUCUGACGGUGAGGGACGAAAGUUAGGGGCGCGAACCGGAUUAGAUACCCGGGUAGUCCUAACCGUAAACGAUGCGGACUUGGUGUUGGGAUGGCUUUGAGCUGCUCCGGUGCCGAAGGGAAGCUGUUAAGUCCGCCGCCUGGGAAGUACGGUCGCAAGACUGAAACUUAAAGGAAUU
RNAcentral lists this ribosomal RNA (521 nucleotides) under uncultured bacterium. RNAcentral's name for it is "bacterial SSU rRNA". It matches the Rfam family "Archaeal small subunit ribosomal RNA", at positions 345 to 866 of the family's 1478-position model. The record is from RNAcentral.